Molecule: ribosomal RNA, 1433 nt
Filed under: uncultured organism
Description: SSU rRNA
Rfam family: Bacterial small subunit ribosomal RNA
Source: RNAcentral
CUUAACACAUGCAAGUCGAGGGGCAGCAUGGUCUUAGCUUGCUAAGGCCGAUGGCGACCGGCGCACGGGUGAGUAACACGUAUCCAACCUGCCGUCUACUCUUGGACAGCCUUCUGAAAGGAAGAUUAAUACAAGAUGGCAUCAUGAGUCCGCAUGUUCACAUGAUUAAAGGUAUUCCGGUAGACGAUGGGGAUGCGUUCCAUUAGAUAGUAGGCGGGGUAACGGCCCACCUAGUCUUCGAUGGAUAGGGGUUCUGAGAGGAAGGUCCCCCACAUUGGAACUGAGACACGGUCCAAACUCCUACGGGAGGCAGCAGUGAGGAAUAUUGGUCAAUGGGCGAGAGCCUGAACCAGCCAAGUAGCGUGAAGGAUGACUGCCCUAUGGGUUGUAAACUUCUUUUAUAAAGGAAUAAAGUCGGGUAUGCAUACCCGUUUGCAUGUACUUUAUGAAUAAGGAUCGGCUAACUCCGUGCCAGCAGCCGCGGUAAUACGGAGGAUCCGAGCGUUAUCCGGAUUUAUUGGGUUUAAAGGGAGCGUAGAUGGAUGUUUAAGUCAGUUGUGAAAGUUUGCGGCUCAACCGUAAAAUUGCAGUUGAUACUGGAUAUCUUGAGUGCAGUUGAGGCAGGCGGAAUUCGUGGUGUAGCGGUGAAAUGCUUAGAUAUCACGAAGAACUCCGAUUGCGAAGGCAGCCUGCUAAGCUGCAACUGACAUUGAGGCUCGAAAGUGUGGGUAUCAAACAGGAUUAGAUACCCUGGUAGUCCACACGGUAAACGAUGAAUACUCGCUGUUUGCGAUAUACAGCAAGCGGCCAAGCGAAAGCGUUAAGUAUUCCACCUGGGGAGUACGCCGGCAACGGUGAAACUCAAAGGAAUUGACGGGGGCCCGCACAAGCGGAGGAACAUGUGGUUUAAUUCGAUGAUACGCGAGGAACCUUACCCGGGCUUAAAUUGCAGAUGAAUUACGGUGAAAGCCGUAAGCCGCAAGGCAUCUGUGAAGGUGUUGCAUGGUUGUCGUCAGCUCGUGCCGUGAGGUGUCGGCUUAAGUGCCAUAACGAGCGCAACCCUUGUUGUCAGUUACUAACAGGUUCCGCUGAGGACUCUGACAAGACUGCCAUCGUAAGAUGUGAGGAAGGUGGGGAUGACGUCAAAUCAGCACGGCCCUUACGUCCGGGGCUACACACGUGUUACAAUGGGGGGGUACAGAGGGCCGCUACCACGCGAGUGGAUGCCAAUCCCAAAAACCUCUCUCAGUUCGGACUGGAGUCUGCAACCCGACUCCACGAAGCUGGAUUCGCUAGUAAUCGCGCAUCAGCCACGGCGCGGUGAAUACGUUCCCGGGCCUUGUACACACCGCCCGUCAAGCCAUGGGAGCCGGGGGUACCUGAAGUGCGUAACCGAGAGGAGCGCCCUAGGGUAAAACUGGUGACUGGGGCUC